ACGGGUGAGUAACGCGUGCGUAACCUGACCCUUCAUCGGGGAAUAACACAGAGAAAUCUGUGCUAAUACCGCAUAACGUCUUCUUGCCGCAUGACAGGAAGACCAAAGGGAUUUAUUCGCUGAAGGAUGGACUCGCGUCCGAUUAGCUAGUUGGUGAGGUAACGGCCCACCAAGGCGACGAUCGGUAGCCGAACUGAGAGGUUGAUCGGCCACAUUGGGACUGAGACACGGCCCAGACUCCUACGGGAGGCAGGCAGUGGGGAAUAUUGGGCAAUGGGCGAAAAAGCCUGACCCAGCAACGCCGCGUGAAGGAAGACGGUCUUCGGAUUGUAAACUUCUUUGAUUGGGGAAGAAACAAAUGACCUACCCAAAGAACAAGUCACGGCUAACUACGUGCCAGCCGCCGC
This 407-nucleotide ribosomal RNA is filed under the name uncultured bacterium. Its description in RNAcentral is "bacterial SSU rRNA". It matches the Rfam family "Bacterial small subunit ribosomal RNA", at positions 102 to 518 of the family's 1533-position model. The record is from RNAcentral.